UAGAAGAUAGUAUAAUGGUAAUAUUGGAAGUUUUGAUCUUUUAGAUUUGAGUUCGAGUCUCGGUCUUCUAG
This 71-nucleotide transfer RNA is filed under the name Bungarus fasciatus (banded krait). RNAcentral's name for it is "tRNA-Gln". It matches the Rfam family "tRNA". Rfam says of the family: Transfer RNA (tRNA) molecules are approximately 80 nucleotides in length. Their secondary structure includes four short double-helical elements and three loops (D, anti-codon, and T loops). Further hydrogen bonds mediate the characteristic L-shaped molecular structure. tRNAs have two regions of fundamental functional importance: the anti-codon, which is responsible for specific mRNA codon recognition, and the 3' end, to which the tRNAs corresponding amino acid is attached (by aminoacyl-tRNA synthetases). tRNAs cope with the degeneracy of the genetic code in two manners: having more than one tRNA (with a specific anti-codon) for a particular amino acid; and 'wobble' base-pairing, i.e. permitting non-standard base-pairing at the 3rd anti-codon position. The record is from RNAcentral. Lineage: Eukaryota; Metazoa; Chordata; Lepidosauria; Squamata; Elapidae.